This 232-nucleotide ribosomal RNA is filed under the name uncultured bacterium. RNAcentral's name for it is "partial 16S ribosomal RNA". It matches the Rfam family "Bacterial small subunit ribosomal RNA", at positions 99 to 334 of the family's 1533-position model. The record is from RNAcentral.
CGGACGGGUGAGUAAUGUCUGGGAAACUGCCUGGUGGAGGGGGAUAACUACUGGAAACGGUAGCUAAUACCGCAUAACGUCGCAAGACCAAAGAGGGGGACCUUAGGGCCUCUUGCCAUCGGAUGUGCCCAGAUGGGAUUAGCUAGUAGGUGGGGUAACGGCUCACCUAGGCGACGAUCCCUAGCUGGUCUGAGAGGAUGACCAGCCACACUGGAACUGAGACACGGUCCAG